This 407-nucleotide ribosomal RNA is filed under the name uncultured bacterium. RNAcentral's name for it is "partial 16S ribosomal RNA". It matches the Rfam family "Bacterial small subunit ribosomal RNA", at positions 30 to 526 of the family's 1533-position model. The record is from RNAcentral.
AUUGAACGCUGGCGGCAGGCCUAACACAUGCAAGUCGAGCGGAGCGGCGGACGGGUGAGUAAUGCCUAGGUAUCUGCCUGGUAGUGAGGGGAGACGUCCGGCAAGGGGCGCUAAGUCCGCAUGCUAUCAAAUGAGCCUAGGUCGGUUUAGCUAGUUGGUGGGGUAAGGGACUACCAAGGCGACGAUCCCUACCUGGUCUGAGAGGAUGAUCAGUCACACUGGAACUGAGACACGGUCCAGACUCCUACGGUAGGCAGCAGUGGGGAAUAUUGGACAAUGGGCGAAAGCCUGAUGCAGCCAUGCCGCGUGUGUGAAGAAGGUCUUCGGAUUGUAAAGCACUUUAAGUUGGGAGGCGUUACCAACAGAAUAAGCACCGGCUAACUUCGUGCCAGCAGCCGCGGUAAUAC